UACGGAGGGGGCUAGCGUUGUUCGGAAUUACUGGGCGUAAAGCGCGCGUAGGCGGACCUGCAAGUCGGGGGUGAAAGCCCGAGGCUCAACCUCGGAACUGCCUUCGAUACUGCGGGUCUCGAGUCCGGGAGAGGUGAGUGGAAUUCCUAGUGUAGAGGUGAAAUUCGUAGAUAUUAGGAAGAACACCAGUGGCGAAGGCGGCUCACUGGCUCGGUACUGACGCUGAGGCGCGAAAGCGUGGGGAGCAAACAGG
RNAcentral lists this ribosomal RNA (253 nucleotides) under uncultured bacterium. Its description in RNAcentral is "partial 16S ribosomal RNA". It matches the Rfam family "Bacterial small subunit ribosomal RNA", at positions 524 to 776 of the family's 1533-position model. The record is from RNAcentral.